RNAcentral lists this ribosomal RNA (520 nucleotides) under Malassezia furfur. RNAcentral's name for it is "eukaryotic LSU rRNA". It matches the Rfam family "Eukaryotic large subunit ribosomal RNA", at positions 83 to 608 of the family's 3401-position model. The record is from RNAcentral. Lineage: Eukaryota; Fungi; Basidiomycota; Malasseziomycetes; Malasseziales; Malasseziaceae.
GUAACGGCGAGUGAAGAGGGAAGAGCUCAAAUUUGAAAGCUGGUACCUCCGGUAUCCGCGUUGUAACCUCGAGACACGUUUUCCGUGCGGCGCUAUGGACAAGUUCCUUGGAACAGGACAUCGUAGAGGGUGAAAAUCCCGUACUUGCCAUGGAUGUACCGUGCUUUGCGAUACGUGCUCUAAGAGUCGAGUUGUUUGGGAUUGCAGCUCAAAAUGGGUGGUAGACUCCAUCUAAAGCUAAAUAUCGGGGAGAGACCGAUAGCGAACAAGUACCGUGAGGGAAAGAUGAAAAGCACUUUGGAAAGAGAGUUAAAAGUACGUGAAAUUGUCGAAAGGGAAGCGCUUGAAGUCAGCCAUGCCGCUCAGGACUCAGCCUGGCUUUUGCUUGGUGUAUUUCCUGGGUAGCAAGUCAGCAUUGGUUUGGAUCGUCGGAGAAGCAUAGUCGGAAUGUGGCGCCCUCGGGCGUGUUAUAGCCUUCUAUUGGAUACGACGAUCUAGACCAAGGAACGCAGCGCGCCUU